ACCACAGCCCAAGAAUAUUGAUGCUGUCAAUAUGAAUACAACAAAGAGAAGCUGAAAACGCUCCCUCUACGGUAAUUCUAAUGAAGAGAGAAAACUAUUUGAGUUUGAUAAAACCUAUACUAAGAAGGAAUCUUCUACUCAUGAAGAGUCAUGUGGAUUUCUCAUAAUAUUUAAUUAUGUGGUCAGAAGAAGUGAGUAGGAAAUAUGUUUAAGUUGAUAUCAAUGAUAUGGAAGAAAGCCUUGCGCCAGCCAGAAAACUUCAACAAGAGAUUUUCUAAAAUAAAUGACACUGAGCCAGCACCUGUUCCUGGAAUGAUGCAUAACAUGCAAGAAGCUCUGAGCAAUCAUGUUGAAGAUAUGAACAAAGGCAGAAGUCAGUCAGUGCCUGCAGGUCCCUGUUAGAUAAGUGUACUUCUCACCCUUCACCAAGGAUACUUCUUUCUGCAGUAGAAGGAGAACACGACAGAAAAUCACAACCAAUCAAAAUGCACAGAUUCCAUGAGAAAAACUCGUGUUUCUGAGUUGGUUUGAACAGAAGAAUACACUUAAGAAAAGGAUGGAGACUGAAUGACAGAAAGACCCACGUGACUGUUUUCCCCCAGUUCUUCCCGAUCACCCAGCAGCACAGCGGUUCUCAACAGUUACUUUCUCUGACUCUUCCAGCAGCCAUUCUCCAAUAUGAAACCAGAAGAUGCACCAGAGGCGAGUCUUGUCCUAUUUCUAGUUUCCUGUCACCAAAUGACAUCACUUUUCCCCUUGGACAUCUUAGUCUGGCCUCCCUCUGAGCAGGGAUAUAAAAAAGCAGGCAUAGCAUUGUCCAUGCUUAUAACAUGGAUGAGUAUAAAACACAAUCUAAAAAUUAGUAUGAUAUAUUAGGAAAAAUAAAAUGAUAGAGUGUUAAGUGAGACGGUUUCCCUAAGGAGGAAAACGUCUUGAACAAAAAUGACUUUUAUGAAAUGGUGUAAGAGGAGAAGAAUUUCAAGGGUGCAUGCACAGAAAGGGCUCACUUCCGUGAAGUUAAGACUAAAGAAAUAAACGGAUGUGACUUGGAUUUGGAGGCUGACCUUGAAAUGACCACUAUAGAUUUUAAAGAUAAAUGAAGGAAUAACUGACUGAAGGUUAGGUAUCAAGAUAUUAAUUGGUCAUUAACCACAUCAUAACAAGGUUAACAAAUACAUUUUUC
This is a non-coding RNA of Peromyscus maniculatus bairdii (prairie deer mouse), 1183 nucleotides long. NCBI's taxonomy places the organism in Eukaryota, Metazoa, Chordata, Mammalia, Rodentia, Cricetidae. The record is from RefSeq and is a predicted model, not a curated record.